Molecule: non-coding RNA, 73 nt
Organism: Daphnia pulex (common water flea)
Lineage: Eukaryota; Metazoa; Arthropoda; Branchiopoda; Diplostraca; Daphniidae
Source: Rfam
GAAAGUGUGGUCUAUGGCGCUGGUUUAGGCACCAGUCCCUUUGGAGGCAAGGGUUCGAAUCCCUUCACUGUCA